Molecule: non-coding RNA, 114 nt
Organism: Acanthosepion pharaonis
Lineage: Eukaryota; Metazoa; Mollusca; Cephalopoda; Sepiida; Sepiidae
Source: the annotation of a GenBank genome assembly
UUACGGUCAUAGCGCGUUGAAACACUGGUUCUCGUUCGAUCACCGAAGUUGAGCAACCUCACGUUUGGUCACUAUCAAAAUGGGUGACCGCUUGGGAAUACCAGGUGCUGCAAG